AAAGGCGUGCGCCACCACCGCCUGGCUGGGAUCUUUUAAAACUGUAUGUCGGUACUUUUCUCUAUACAGAGUGCUUUAUUGGCUGGAUAUAUCAUAAUUUAUUUAAUCCGUCUGUAUUAAUAGGUGUGUCAGCUGUUCUUUUUCUUUGAAAAAUGUUGUAGUGGAUGCCUGUUAACAUUAUGUUAUAUGAAAAUUAUGUUUCUGGACUCUUCUCCCCUGCUUGCACUUACUUGCCAGCACAUCUGUUGGAACCUACUUCUACAGAAGACCAGCUGAGACAUCUAGCCCUGUGGGACUGAGCAACUACUAGAUCCUUGGACUUCCCAUUCACAGCUGACCAUUGUUGGGGUUGUUGGACUACAGACUGAACUGCAUGGCUCUAACUUUGAACCUGCUAGUAGUGCUAGUAGAAGUCUCAGGAAGAAAAAGGGACACUUUGAAAAGAGAUUAUGGCUGUGAGUGCUGUGGAGUGUAUGAGCAGGUCCAGAAGGGCUCCCCGAAGCUGAAAGGCCUGGUGGAGCUUGGCAUGAUGAAGCAGAAGAAGAAGAACAAAGGCAAGGCCAAGAUGCUGGAGGCCAUGAGGAUGAGCAAGAAGAGUGAGGAGGAGGAGAGGCGCUGUCUGGACAAGCCCAUGCCGGCACGGGAGGCCUUCAAAAAGAUUCAGAAGUGGCAAACCGAAAGAAUCCUGAAGAAGGUGUCAAAAACCCACAAGCAGAGAGUGGAGGACUUCAACUGACACCUGGACACACUCACCGAGCACUAUGACAUUCCCAAAGUCAGCUGGACCAAGUAACCGGCCCCUGGAGCCAAAGGCAGCAGGCCAGGCAGACUGUGCUCUUCCUCCGUAGUUCCUGGUAUCUUUUCCACUGGCUGGGGCAUCUGCUGAGACCAGGCUUCCUGAGACUUGAUCAAAAGUGGGCUGUCCUUUCACUGGGUUUUGGUUUUGGGGUAGAUCCCUUUCCUGUUUGGACAGCAACAUUGGAGCUUGACAUGCUGAGGUAAUUUCUGGGUGAAGGUCAUGGAAGGAUGGUCGCCUUUCCACUCCCAUUGGGGCAUCUGUCUUCACUUACACCACAAUCCCUGUGGACCACCACAGAAGUUCCCACAGUGCUGCUCCAUUUUGGGCCACCUUGACAUCAGAUUGCAUCUGAAACACCAUAUGAAGCAAGGGCAGGACACAGGACACAGGUCUCCAGCACAUAACCUGUCCCACAGUUCACCCAAUGGAUUGCAAUGGUAGAUGUUGCUAAUCUCAGUUCUCAAUGAUGGCACCUGGGUUUCUAAGCAUGUGGCAUGUGGUAUGAGCCUGGUUGGCAUUCCUGGUCUAAGGACACCAAAUGCUAGAUAUGGCCAGGGCAAACUGCCAGCAGACAUGCUGUAGUGGUGUAGGUGCUGUGGAGCUGUGGCAUCUGAGGGUCUAGGUAGAUCACUUGAAGAAUUUCUGCACACACUGUUAAGAGAUGCAGCUUCUGUUGCUAUGGAUAUUAAAAGAAAUGACAAAUCAGUAGAGCUGACAUGUAGUGAAUACCAAUCAUGGAGUGUGAAUGUUGUCUAUAUAGGCUGUCCAUUACAGGGAUAUCUUUUGAUUCUGCUCAUGUCCCUGAACAAUGAAGAAUGCACAGUGCAAAACUAGUUUAGUGUGGGGAAAAUUGGAUGCUUUUGUAUUUUAAAGGUACAUAUGUGUAUACAUAUGGGUAUAUUAUAUAAUGUGCAUUGUAUGAGUGCAUGUGUACAUAUACACAUGUGUAGAGGGCAACUUGAAGGAUUGACUCCUUCCACCAUAUGAAUCCUGGGGAUCGGAUCUAACUUAGGUUGGAAACUAACUUGACUGCAAGUGACUUUACUCACUCAGCUGUGUCACAGUCCAGAUGACACAUUUAUUCAGGUGUUCACACCUGAGGGAGGUGGUGUGUACAUACCUUGUCUCAAAUGUUUAGGAACAUUUUGGAUUUGGGGAUUUUUCCAGAUUUGGGGAACACAAUGAUUUUUGUAAUAUGUAAUGAGAUGUUGCAGUGGCUGUCACAAGUUUGCAUACAUUUGAUUUGUUUGAUUUGCCCUGUGUACAUAGCUUGUGCACAUUUUAUAUUAACAUGUUGUCUUUAAACAUAGUAUAUAAAAUAUACAAGUUUU
RNA transcript from Mastomys coucha (southern multimammate mouse), 2130 nucleotides. It is a transcript of the gene named protein FAM32A pseudogene, with no coding region annotated. The record is from RefSeq and is a predicted model, not a curated record. NCBI's taxonomy places the organism in Eukaryota, Metazoa, Chordata, Mammalia, Rodentia, Muridae. The transcript has a single exon.